This 496-nucleotide ribosomal RNA is filed under the name uncultured bacterium. RNAcentral's name for it is "partial 16S ribosomal RNA". It matches the Rfam family "Bacterial small subunit ribosomal RNA", at positions 30 to 523 of the family's 1533-position model. The record is from RNAcentral.
AUUGAACGCUGGCGGAAUGCUUUACACAUGCAAGUCGAACGGUAGAGGGGGCAACCCCUCGAGAGUGGCGAACGGGUGAGUAAUAUAUCGGAACGUGCCCGGUCGUGGGGGAUAACGUAGCGAAAGUUACGCUGAUACCGCAUACGAUCCAAGGAUGAAAGCGGGGGAUCGCAAGACCUCGCGCGAUUGCAGCGGCCGAUAUCAGAUUAGGUAGUUGGUGGGGUAAAGGCUCACCAAGCCAACGAUCUGUAGCUGGUCUGAGAGGACGACCAGCCACACUGGAACUGAGACACGGUCCAGACUCCUACGGGAGGCAGCAGUGGGGAAUUUUGGACAAUGGACGCAAGUCUGAUCCAGCCAUUCCGCGUGCAGGAUGAAGGCCCUCGGGUUGUAAACUGCUUUUGUACGGAACGAAAAGGUCUCUCUUAAUACGGGGGACUCAUGACGGUACCGUAAGAAUAAGCACCGGCUAACUACGUGCCAGCAGCCGCCGUAA